GGGCAGCUACCCAGCAAUGGGAUGCGAAUCUCGAAAGCCUGUCUCAGUUCGGAUUGGAGGCUGAAACCCGCCUCCAUGAAGUUGGAUUCGCUAGUAAUCGCGCAUCAGCCAUGGCGCGGUGAAUACGUUCCCGGGCCUUGUACACACCGCCCGUCAAGCCAUGGGAGCCGGGGGUGCCUGAAGUUCGUGACCGCAAGGAGCGACUUAGGGCAAAACUGGUGACUGGGGCUAAGUCGUAACAAGGUACC
This 248-nucleotide ribosomal RNA is filed under the name uncultured bacterium. Its description in RNAcentral is "partial 16S ribosomal RNA". It matches the Rfam family "Bacterial small subunit ribosomal RNA", at positions 1244 to 1500 of the family's 1533-position model. The record is from RNAcentral.